UGGUGACAAUGGCAAGGAGGUCACACCUGUUCCCAUGCCGAACACAGAAGUUAAGCUCCUUAGCGCCGAUGGUAGUCGGA
Molecule: ribosomal RNA, 80 nt
Filed under: Staphylococcus epidermidis
Lineage: Bacteria; Bacillati; Bacillota; Bacilli; Caryophanales; Staphylococcaceae
Source: RNAcentral